UUUUUUUUUUUUUCGUGGCGCCGGUUUCCUAUAUUAUAUCAUUGUCGACGUGUCCGACUGUCCGUAUUUUGAAUGGGAAACGAGAUACUGGAUAUCUGUAGAAAAAACUCGUACAACUCGGACAAUAAUUGUCGAACAAUUUCUACAAACGAUUAUUUAUUACGUGACGGUAAAAUCACCGUUAAAACCGAUUUGUUCUUAAACCGAAUUGCACCAAUUGACGGCCCCGAACGAAUAUUAAUAAUUGUACAGUAUUUUAACACCGUUGUCUCUCGAAUAAUCAUAACAGUGUGAUUAACAUUUUUUCACGGCGAGUAAAUCAAUAUUUGGGAAUCUGCACGUGUAUCGAACGGCACGUGGAAUUUCUCACAGAACCGACGCGCGCGUGAACCUGGAAAAUGUCCGAACUCCGACCUGACGCGUUUCUCACGAAAACCGUCCGGCCAUUUCACCUCGACCCCCG
Molecule: non-coding RNA, 463 nt
Organism: Cinara cedri
Lineage: Eukaryota; Metazoa; Arthropoda; Insecta; Hemiptera; Aphididae
Source: the annotation of a GenBank genome assembly